This 305-nucleotide ribosomal RNA is filed under the name uncultured bacterium. RNAcentral's name for it is "bacterial SSU rRNA". It matches the Rfam family "Bacterial small subunit ribosomal RNA", at positions 335 to 657 of the family's 1533-position model. The record is from RNAcentral.
ACGCCUACGGGAGGCAGCAGUGGGGGAUAUUGCACAAUGGGGGAAACCCUGAUGCAGCGACGCCGCGUGGGUGAAGAAGCGCCUCGGCGCGUAAAGCCCUAUCAGCAGGGAAGAAAAUGACGGUACCUGAUUAAGAAGCCCCGGCUAACUACGUGCCAGCAGCCGCGGUAAUACGUAGGGGGCAAGCGUUAUCCGGAUUUACUGGGUGUAAAGGGAGCGUAGACGGCAUCGCAAGUCCGGAGUGAAAGCCCACGGCCCAACCGUGGGACUGCUCUGGAAACUGUAGAGCUGGAGUGCGGGAGGGG